GACGAACGCUGGCGGCGUGCCUAAUACAUGCAAGUAGAACGCUGAAGCUUGGUGCUUGCACCGAGCGGAUGAGUUGCGAACGGGUGAGUAACGCGUAGGUAACCUGCCUGGUAGCGGGGGAUAACUAUUGGAAACGAUAGCUAAUACCGCAUAAGAGUAGAUGUUGCAUGACAUUUGCUUAAAAGGUGCAAUUGCAUCACUACCAGAUUGACCUGCGUUGUAUUAGCUAGUUGGUGAGGUAACGGCUCACCAAGGCAACGAUACAUAGCCGACCUGAGAGGGUGAUCGGCCACACUGGGACUGAGAAACGGCCCAGACUCCUACGGGAGGCAGCAGUAGGGAAUCUUCGGCAAGGGACGGAAGUCUGACCGAGCAACGCCGCGUGAGUGAAGAAGGGUGUCGGAUCGUAAAGCUCUGUUGUAAGAGAAGAACGAGUGUGAGAGUGGAAAGUUCACACUGUGACGGUAUCUUACCAGAAAGGGACGGCUAACUACGUG
This 497-nucleotide ribosomal RNA is filed under the name uncultured bacterium. Its description in RNAcentral is "partial 16S ribosomal RNA". It matches the Rfam family "Bacterial small subunit ribosomal RNA", at positions 28 to 507 of the family's 1533-position model. The record is from RNAcentral.